Octopus sinensis (East Asian common octopus) is the source of this 118-nucleotide long non-coding RNA. RefSeq lists it as uncharacterized. The record is from RefSeq and is a predicted model, not a curated record. The transcript is spliced from 3 exons. Lineage: Eukaryota; Metazoa; Mollusca; Cephalopoda; Octopoda; Octopodidae.
UGACUGAAACAAGUAAAAGAGUAAAGAAAAUAGUCAUUGCAUGGUGAUCGCCAUAAGCUUUAAGUUUAUAUAAAAUACCAUUAGUAUUAUUUGCAGGAUUGUAAAACACGGCACCGUA